GAACCACAACAAUACCCUAUGCCCUGUGCACUAUAUGGUCAUACAUCAUGCCACUCGGUUCAUUUUCUAUUUGUGAGCUUUAUUCAUCGUAUGCUUGUCUCAAAUAAUUAGUAUAUAGAAAGAAGAUGAGCUGAUCAAAAUGGUGCAGUAGUGUAGAAUAUAAUUUGCUAUUGUCAAAAGAUAUAAAAAAAUCUCUUACAAUAAAAUAGUAGUGAAUUUUGAUGUACUUUGGAUUUGAAUUUUUUUUUUUUUGAGGGCAUAUGGAACUGCUUAAAUCGAGAUAUUCGCUAUUAUUUUAAUCAAUUGCCUACUUGUCAUAUGCAAACCAAUUUAUGAAGCAUAAAAAAGUUGAAUAUCAUGCUUACUUAAGGAGAAGCAGGCUUGCGUGUUUAAAUCCUACAUACUUUACUGGUUACAAAUCAACUCUCUUUCAAUUCUUUGAGCAAUGGUCUGGCUUUCACCAAACAAAGAGCAUCCUGAUCUCCGUCACUAUUGCAUGAAUCAUGAAGCCCAGUGUUAGACCAUGACCUCUCACCACCUCCAGCUAGAAAGGUCUUCUCCACCUUAACUAAUAAAUAAAGAUAAAAAACAAGGACAGAACUUUCAUUUUCAACUAAUUGAUGAGAUCUAUGUCUUUUAUCCGGCAUAAUGCGACCACAUUGGUCCGUCUAGGGGAGUGACAGAGUCGAAGCACCAAACCUAGUAACCUUCUCCCUCUUCCCAUGUUGUCUCUGUCCCUUCAAGCAAUGGAGAGAUGAUUAGCCUUGCAAGUUCUAAAGAAUGUGAGAGCCCACCUAAUUCAUGCCUCCGCCAACCAUCCUAUGUUUUUUUAAAAAAAUCCCCUUGUCCCUCUCAAUGUUUUACUUUAACAUGAUUUAAACAGAGAGAGAAAGGUCCCGCCAAGGGAAGUGAGCCAUCUCUAUUUUAUCAUCACCCAGGAGUUGGUCUGAGUAAGGAGUCAAAAAGCG
RNAcentral lists this long non-coding RNA (968 nucleotides) under Phoenix dactylifera (date palm). Its description in RNAcentral is "long non-coding RNA (PDAC_LNC000014)". Lineage: Eukaryota; Viridiplantae; Streptophyta; Magnoliopsida; Arecales; Arecaceae. The record is from RNAcentral.